AAUGGGGGAAACCCUGACGCAGCAACGCCGCGUGGGUGAUGAAGGCCUUCGGGUCGUAAAGCCCUGUCGGGAGGGAAGAAAUGAUUGAGAGCUAAUACCUCUUGAUCUUGACGGUACCUCCGAAGGAAGCACCGGCUAACUCCGUGCCAGCAGCCGCGGUAAUACGGAGGGUGCAAGCGUUGUUCGGAAUUAUUGGGCGUAAAGCGCGUGUAGGCGGUCUUUUAAGUAUGAUGUGAAAGCCCCGGGCUCAACCUGGGAAGUGCAUUGGGAACUGGGAGACUUGAGUACGGGAGAGGAGAGUGGAAUUCCUAGUGUAGGAGUGAAAUCCGUAGAUAUUAGGAGGAACACCGGUGGCGAAGGCGACUGUCUGGACUGACCCUGACGUUGAGGUGCGAAAGCGUGGGUAGCAAA
This 411-nucleotide ribosomal RNA is filed under the name uncultured bacterium. RNAcentral's name for it is "bacterial SSU rRNA". It matches the Rfam family "Bacterial small subunit ribosomal RNA", at positions 370 to 772 of the family's 1533-position model. The record is from RNAcentral.